UAAAAUGCGUCGAAGAGGAACAGUAAGAGAGAAGACGGGGUACAGAGAACUGCCGGGCGGUGCGAGGCAGAGUCCAGAAGCUUUCCGAACUCGCCUCGGAGCAGCAUGCUGAAAGAGCGGGCAGGGCAGCGGGAAAACGAAACGCUGUCUGCGGAUAUCCUCAGAUAGGCAUUGCCGGUUUCCGCCGUUAUCGGAAAAUGAGUGCAUACGGGUGAAAGCCCUGUAUGAAAUAGAGUGGUACCGCGUGAGAAUCUAAGUCCCCCACGUCUCUAUA
RNAcentral lists this non-coding RNA (274 nucleotides) under Clostridiales sp. EM6. Its description in RNAcentral is "Clostridiales sp. T-box sequence". It matches the Rfam family "T-box leader". From Rfam's summary of the family: Uncharged tRNA acts as the effector for transcription antitermination of genes in the T-box leader family. The record is from RNAcentral. Lineage: Bacteria; Bacillati; Bacillota; Clostridia; Eubacteriales.